GACGAACGCUGGCGGCGUGCUUAACACAUGCAAGUCGAACGGAAAGGCCCUGCUUUUGUGGGGUGCUCGAGUGGCGAACGGGUGAGUAACACGUGAGUAACCUGCCCUUGACUUUGGGAUAACUUCAGGAAACUGGGGCUAAUACCGGAUAGGAGCUCCUGCUGCAUGGUGGGGGUUGGAAAGUUUCGGCGGUUGGGGAUGGACUCGCGGCUUAUCAGCUUGUUGGUGGGGUAGUGGAUUACCAAGGCUUUGACGGGUAGCCGGCCUGAGAGGGUGACCGGCCACAUUGGGACUGAGAUACGGCCCAGACUCCUACGGGAGGCAGCAGGGGGGAAUAGUGCAAAAUGGGCGGAAGCCUGAUGCAGCAACGCCGCGUGCGGGAUGACGGCCUGCGGGUUGUAAACCGCUUUCGCCUGUGACGAAGCGAGAGUGACGGUAAGGGGUAAAGAAGCACCGGCUAACUACGUG
This 468-nucleotide ribosomal RNA is filed under the name uncultured bacterium. RNAcentral's name for it is "partial 16S ribosomal RNA". It matches the Rfam family "Bacterial small subunit ribosomal RNA", at positions 28 to 507 of the family's 1533-position model. The record is from RNAcentral.